UCCAGGCUAGAAGCCAAGUCACACAGGGCAUGAGCAGCUUCAGAAAUAACCACCAUUCAGGUUUGUUUACUGCAAGGAGCUCUCGAAGGAAACCAUCAAAUUAAGGAAAAUAAAGUUGAGGUGCUGGAGUGGAGCACAGACAAGCAACAGGGAGAUGAGAUUUUCAUCACUGCAAUGUCUUCUACAGGUUUUCCUUUGCCUCUGUACCUGCAGGAAGAAAAUCUCUUGGCAAGCAUCGGGUUAUGGACUUUGUUUCCAUUUGGACCAUUCUGCUUCCUGCUGAAAAUGAGCAACUGACUGCACUGGAAACUUUCUGCAAUUUGCUCAGGUUCAUAAUUUUGAAGGAGAGAGAAGAUUUUAAAGAUGCGAAAUAACUAUUUGUGGGUGUCUAAGUUUACUUGAGUGUCUGAAGUUAUUCCAUAAUAUACCAGUGGGGUAUCAUGCUGAUUCAUAUUUCUUCAUUCUCUGUGUUCAGUCUCAUAGAGUGCCUUGUUAGAAUCAAGAGCAGGAGAAAGGACGAGCAUGCAGAUAGGUUUCCCUGAAUAAUGCUCAUGGUUCAUCCUUUGGAUUCAAGCAGUUGGCUUAAAAAAAAUAGGUUUUUUAGAGAGAAGGAAAAACUGAAUGCAGCGGGAGUGUCUUCCAUACAUACUCCUGAAGGCCGAUAAAGUCUAAUCUUCUUGAACACAAAAAAACCAAAUAGUAGGAGAUCCCUCCUUUGCCUAUGCUUCCAGCCCACAUCUUGAACUCUGGUCAAUAAUCUCACUUUCUCUUUCUGGACUUCUGCCCCAUGUCUGCAUGUCCUCUGCUUCUCCCUCCUCGCUUCAGCAGAUAUUCCUCAAUGGCCAGGCAGUUGCCUGUGGUGUUUGGGUGAUGACAUGUUUCUUGGCUCUGAUUUGGAGACUGCUACAGUUUCAUAAGCAAGUGCUUCUUUUCAGCUCUCUGGAAUGAGGGGCAGUUGUUACACCUUGGGCCUCAAUUACAUUUUGUCCAGCCAAGACCAACUUCUUCAUCACCUCACUGAGCCAGCACUGCUCCUGCACACUCUGUUGGCUUGUCCUCCAACAUCCUUCUGAGUCUGCUGCUUUCCUCUUCUCCCAUUGCUCUGAUACCUCCUUCAUCUCAAACAGACACAAAAAUGUUCAUGAACAACUGAAAUCCCCUUUAAUGCUUGCUUUUCCUUCAGGUCCUAAAACCUGACUGUAUUUUGGAUAGAGAUUGCUGUUGUUUCAUCUCUUUGGUUCCAUGCUACUGCUUGUAUUAUAAUUUUACAAUAAUAAUACAAUUUUAACUCCCAGAAACCUGCCUGAUUGUUUUUUUCUGUUUCUUUGCUCAUACAGACUAACAGCUUGGAUGCCUGCUGGAUUCUGAGCAACAGAACCUGCCCCGUGUGACACCCAGUGUUUUCUCACAAGUUAUUCUCCUCACUGUUAGUGGUCUUCAAUAGAAAACCUCUCAAAACAAAAGUAGGCAAAAAAUGCACCCAUCAGAAAUUGUGUGUGUUUGUGUGUGUUUGGUCCUGGAGCAGAAGAUCAGGAACAAAAGUUGGUUGAGCUUUUUACCUCUGACUUGACAGGGAACUAUUAGAGGGCAUAUCAGAGAAAGCAGAGAUUAAUGAAGGAUUCCUAGAACAGUAGAGGACUUUAGAAAUUCUUUUUAGGGGAACAGCACUAGUUCUUCAAAGAAAUGAAUGGCUCUGCUGCCAAGGGUUUCAGAGCAUUAAUUAUCCAUUUUUGCCAAGAGUUUGGAAACAGAACCAUGGAAUAGUUUGGGUUGGAGAGACCUUUAAAGGUCAUGUAGUCCAAGCCCCCCACUGUAAGCAGAGACAUCUGUAAUUCCAACAGGUUGUUCAGACUCCUGUCCAAAUUCUCCCUUAACAUUUCCAGGGAUGAGGCUUCUGCCACUGCCAGAGACUCAGCUCUGGUAAAUCACUUGGGAAUCCUCUCACUCGCCUCAGCUCCUAUCCAGACCAGAUCUCAACAGAGAUUUUAAAAGAUUUCUUCAGAAAAGCAUCAGAAACAGUUUCAAUUCAGUGCUGGGAAAUGAGACACUCGGCACUAACAGAUUUAAUAUUCAUCUUGUCACAUACUAGGUUGCCCUACUGAUCUUUGAGCUGCUCACACAAAAAGCAUCCUAUCGAGUUUCUGCUGAAAUAUCUUGAAUGCUCAGCAGCACAACCAUGCAGAGGAAUAUACAUAACAGGAAAUUAUUUUUUCUCCAAAAUUUUGAUGCACUGUUUACAGAUAAAAUGGCAAAAUACAGUAAAUAUAUACUUAUGCACAUUUGAUUGUAUACUUAUAAAAAUAUUCAUCUUAUAAACACUUUAUUUGAAAUUUCUGAUUAUUAAAACAUAAAUUAAAUUUUGUUAUCUAUGUGUACUCAACUUUGUUAGAAAUGCUAUUAAAGCUUCAGGCUGUUUAAACAAUAAUACUCUGGAUAUCUAGAAAGCCUUCCAGGCUUCAUGAGGGCUUUUUUCAGGCUCUUCAUAGACAUUAAUUAAAGCUGUGAGAAACUCUGUGUUCUUGGUACUAUUUACACCUGUUUAAUACUGCCUCACGUGCUACAUCUUAGGUCAAACAGCAAAUCAGUAACAAAACCAGUGUCAGAAAUGGAGUAUCAGAACUCCUGAGACCUGCCAGAGCUAUUGGACAUUGUCUUCCACCAGACCACACUAUCAGUUAUAGAAAAUAACUUUUGAUUGCUCAGAGAACUAUCCAAGUACAGUUACUAUUAACACUUAUCACAAAAAGCUGUGUAAGCAGACUGAAGGAAACUCCCCCCAAACCUGUAAAUGUGCUAUUGACAGGCAAUUUCAUUAAAUCUGGUUUCACUUUAUUUGGGUUAUAUAUUCCAUUUCAUAAAAACCUUAUCGUAAAGAUCUAAAUCUGUGAAGAAAGACAUUAAGCAAUUCUUUAUUAUCUCUGCUGGUCCAUUAAAAUAAAUCUCAUCUAUCCCUUCCCCUAUUAUUCCAGGGAGUGCAAGGGCUGAUGUAUUUUGGCAUAAUUGCUUUGGCAUCCCAGGUUUGUUCUGUCACUGCUGUUGUGCAAGUGCAUUUGAAGGAGUGAUCAUCUUUUUUCUGUAUGGCCCAUCACCAUGGUGUAUAAGCAAUAUACAGGCUGCAGAUUUUGUAAUAGGUAAAGUUUUCAAAAAUGUUAUUGGCAAUUUUUUUGAUAAAGACACAUGUCAGACUGCACCCAGUUUAUUCAUACACUGUAAGGAGUUCUCUGGCUUCCUAAUUUAUUAACAAUGGUCAUUUGUUACACUGACAACUUAGAAAAACAGAUCACUCAGAAGUCAUGAUGGGGUAAUUCUGCUUCUUGGAGCCUCUGCAAUGAAUCACCAUUUUCCCUCCCUCCCUUGACCUAAUUUCAAAAUCAUAUACCUGUGUAAAAUAUUGUGAUGAGAAUUGUGUCUAAUUAUCUUCUAAAUUUUUCUUUUAAUUGCUAGAAGGAUACCCAUUCUUGAAUAAGGGAGGUAUUAAUGAUGUAAUAGUGUUAGAGAGUCCUUGAAAUCUAGAUUAAUUAUUAGUUGUGUGGACUUCUGAGAGUUUUUGAUGUAUUCAUUUGCAUUCACAAAGAUGGCUUUUUAAUUAAAGAGAGUUUUUGAACUUAUACAAAUGAGCCUUUUGCACAUGUGCCCAGAAACGUGGAAAGUGUUAAAAGUGAGAAGAAUCGAAAUUUUCCUGAAACAUUACCUCCCGCUGCAAACACUGAACGGCCAAAAGCAUUUGAAACUCCAGACCUCAUGUCAGCAGCUCCAGCAGAUCUCGAAGACCAAGCAGAAUUAUAAAAGCCUGUGCUUGUUUCAAAUACCACAGAAAUGGUUCUGUACAAAAGAACAAUGUCAGAAUAUCUGAUUUCCAUUUCAGCUUCCACCGCAGCAUAUGUUUCUACCUUUACCUGCAUGCUUAUUUUUUCCUCUUUAGAAAUUAGAUCCUCUUUCCCAAGGACUCCAAUGUUAAAUGUUUCCUCAUUGUAACUCUUAUGAUCCCUUGUUGCCACCUCAGACUUCUGGUUUUUCUUUCUUUUUCUUUGUUCGAGAUCAAGAGAACAAACCGAAAGCUCUGAGUCUCCAGGUCUGUUUCACAGAUUUAUAAAUGGUACCAUAUUUCCUGUAUUACAGCCAUUCAGUUCUUAAUGCAGCCUAACAUCUAAUUUACAAUUUUGACUGCUGCUACGUAUUGAAUUUGAGCAGAUGUCUUUACUGAGCUGUCCAUAGUGAUGCCUAAAUCAUUUUCCGAGAAGUUCACAGCAAAUUUGGAUUCCAGAGAAGUGAAUACAUAGUUUAAUUUGUACCUUUUAAAGUAAAUUAUUUUGUAAAGAAGUGGAUCUCAUGUUACAGAAUACUGUCUGAUUUCCUCAUUUUUGUGAGAUAUACCCAGAGCCACUCAUUCACCUCUGCCAAGGCUGGCUGCCUAAUUUCAGUUUUCAGCAUGAGCAUAAUACCAGCCCCUUAUCACAAUUGUGGUUCUAGUCCAGAACUGGGACUUUAAACCUCCUCCAUUCUCUGUCUCUUCCACAGUUCCCACUCACACACAAAACUGCAAUCCAGACUUACAGGUGUCCUUAUUUUGGUCUUGUGAUGACUUUUUAAAGUCUGUAUCACGAACAUCCACUGAUCUUCCCACAUCUCCUCUUGUUUAAGUCUUUGUAAGGGGGAAUAAAACAGAUUUAUUUGAA
Non-coding RNA from Zonotrichia albicollis (white-throated sparrow), 4676 nucleotides. The record is from RefSeq and is a predicted model, not a curated record. NCBI's taxonomy places the organism in Eukaryota, Metazoa, Chordata, Aves, Passeriformes, Passerellidae.